CAGUAGCCGCGGGAAUACGAAGGGUGCAAGCGUUAAUCGGAAUUACUGGGCGUAAAGCGUGCGUAGGCGGUGAGUUAAGUCUGCUGUGAAAUCCCCGGGCUCAACCUGGGAAUGGCAGUGGAUACUGGCUCGCUAGAGUGUGUCAGAGGAUGGUGGAAUUCCCGGUGUAGCGGUGAAAUGCGUAGAGAUCGGGAGGAACACCAGUGGCGAAGGCGGCCAUCUGGGACAACACUGACGCUGAGGCACGAAAGCGUGGGGAGCAAACAGGAUUAGAUACCCGGGUAGUCCCUGUCUCUUAUCC
RNAcentral lists this ribosomal RNA (301 nucleotides) under uncultured bacterium. RNAcentral describes it as "partial 16S ribosomal RNA". It matches the Rfam family "Bacterial small subunit ribosomal RNA", at positions 509 to 809 of the family's 1533-position model. The record is from RNAcentral.